CAAUCUCUUUCCGACAACGUGCUACCAUAGAUGAAGGAAAUGUCCCGGGAUAUUAUCCGGGUGUGGUAGACUAAAGUGGAUUAAGUUUGUGGCGUACUAAAUACGGAUAGGAACACGAUUGAGAAUCGAGAACAAGUAACCUGGAGAGUCCGACGAGUAAGAGCAAAAGCAGCUUCCGGGAAACCAGCUCGUUAGUCGGAUGACGCUUGUCCGGUCGCUGCACCAGAUCUGGUUCCAUACGGUUCUCCUGCUCCUGUCGCCAAAGCCGAAACCGCAGUCACAGUAAAUCGGACCGUUCGAUCCGUACCGGCCGCAACCGGAUGCCUUUCUCUUGUUCACCCCAACAUGUUGUGACAACUACAUAUUAUGUUUCGGAGCCGCUCGAAUCUUUUCUUGGUUUGUCCCCCUGGUCUACCCGGACAUUCCACAGCCCUCGAUCCGGAGAAACAAAGUCCGACUCCGGUGCGCCCUCGUCCGGCGGAUCGAUUCCAUAGUUCGUGGCCGGAUGCACCAAAUUCUUUGUCGGUCUUCCGGAAAUGACGCUUGCUGUCAGACGCGGAAGUUCUGAUCGGUCGCACGAGGCAGAAAUCAUCCAGUUGAAUCGCCAGCAUCAGCAGAUUAUGGCCUUCCACGAGAACGAACAGGGCGAGUGCGAUCACUGAAUAGCGUAAGCUACAAUAUUUCAUGAAUAAAUGAAAGUUGCUUGUAUUUAAAAUUGAGGUGAAAAGUCAUCGAUUGUGAUUGGACACUCAAUAAUAUUUUAACUGAAUGAAUGUACA
Culex pipiens pallens (northern house mosquito) is the source of this 779-nucleotide long non-coding RNA. RefSeq lists it as uncharacterized. The transcript has 3 exons. Lineage: Eukaryota; Metazoa; Arthropoda; Insecta; Diptera; Culicidae. The record is from RefSeq and is a predicted model, not a curated record.